This is an RNA transcript of Dreissena polymorpha, 1682 nucleotides long. RefSeq lists it as uncharacterized. NCBI's taxonomy places the organism in Eukaryota, Metazoa, Mollusca, Bivalvia, Myida, Dreissenidae. The record is from RefSeq and is a predicted model, not a curated record. The transcript is spliced from 8 exons.
CUCAUGGCGUCCGGUGAAAAUAAUGCAAAAGCGAUUAUAUUUUAUGACAGUGAAGGCGCAAACGAAAAGUCUAAAAAAGAGGCAGAAACAUUGAGGUUCUUUAUUGAAAAGAAUAGUGGAUACAAAUGUCAAACCGACGAUGAAAUAAGGAUUGGCGGACCCGAAACUACCGAAACUCCUCUUAAAACCAUUAACAAUUCAAUAAAUACGAAUGACAGAAUCAUUAUUCUUAUAACAGACCAAUCUGCUUCAAAAGGAUGGUUCACAUUUGAAGUUUUGUCUGCAUUAGAAAAUAUUAUUGUCGAAAAUCGAAUGCGACUUUUGGUCGCAUACAAAGGGAAUCGACGUGAAGAUGUUGGGUUUCUGAAAACUGGAUUGCUGUCGUUGACGCCCAAGACGUUUGUCGACCUCAAUAAAUGGCAGAGAUAUGAAAGGCUUCUCAAACAACUAAAAACUCCAGUGUGUUUGGACGAAGAAUUACCAGCGGGAAACUUGCAUCUUGGCUUGGUUCAUUCCCACUUAUCCGGCUACAUGUGUUAUGUUGCUGAAGAGUUUGCAAAGAACAAGAAUUGGUCGGAGAAAUGCGAUGAUUACAGAAAACAAUAUAAACUAAUGAUUGAAAAAUUUCUGCUGGUUGUACCAAAAACAUACACUGUCCCACAGCAACUUCCAUCCGAUUCCAUCAGAUUCAACAGCAGACAUUGUCAUUUCGGAUGUGGAUGCAUUUAAGUUUGAGAGAAUACACGCGGGUAACAGCAGAGGAUAUGUCGUUACAAUCAACAAGAUAAAGCACGCGAACAACGAGGUGUACGUUUGUGCCCAGGUACCAACAGUGCUGACUGCCAUAUCUCAUCUUUCAAAGCAGCAUCUUGGCAGAAUUAAUGUUGCUCUUGAGCAUCAGAGAUUCUGCCAAGCAUAUAAGCAGAUAAUCGAUGCGAAUGGAUGGGCUGACUUCUUGGAAAUAAUCCAAUGUGAAGAUGAAAACUAUAUUCCUGUCGCGUUAUGUAAGGCUGCUACGGCAAACGCUGACAAAACAGCUGUGAAAGGAACUGCUCAAAUUAGAGCUGGAGUUAUUUCCGAUAUUAAAAAGGAGAGUGUUUUCAUAUCCUGUUUUGAUAUUGAUAACGAUUCUCGUGACGAGAUUGCACGAGAGCUAGAUAAACAUAUUAUUCGACAUGAACGCGCAACAGGGAAUUCCAGCAGGCUCUUAGAAGUUGACAGUCGAACAGGCUGGAUAAUAGUUAUUGUCUCGAAGGAAUCACUGAAAGCCGGUGUGUUUUCAUUUAAUCUCAUGAAAUGCCUGACUGCUGAUGUUGAUGAAGGCAAACUGAGAGUUCUGCUUGUAUUGCGCAGCGGUGUGAAUAUCUCAGAUGUGCCAAGGUUUGUUCGAUGGGUUACAUGCUUCAGCGAAGAUGAAAAAUCAUACAAAAACUGGAUUGUAAGAACAGUUUCAGGAGCACCUGUAGAUAUUGGGAGGACACUUCCAGCAGGGGAUGUAAUCCCAGGCUUAUGUUGGACCUAUGUCUUGAACCACCUGAAGAUUAUGCUUACGACCAGCAGUAUUUAUAAAACAAUUCAAGAGUAUCUAACGAACAAAGACCUAAACUGCGGGUGCAUCCGUCAACUAAGAGUGGUGUGGGUCAAGUCGUGGAGAACACCCUAGACGUGGUUGCAAACAAAAG